This 253-nucleotide ribosomal RNA is filed under the name uncultured bacterium. RNAcentral's name for it is "partial 16S ribosomal RNA". It matches the Rfam family "Bacterial small subunit ribosomal RNA", at positions 524 to 776 of the family's 1533-position model. The record is from RNAcentral.
GACGAACCGUGCGAACGUUGUUCGGAAUCACUGGGCUUAAAGGGCGUGUAGGCGGGCCGUCAAGUCAGGGGUGAAAGCCCCCAGCUCAACUGGGGAAGUGCCUUUGAUACUGACGAUCUCGAGGGAGGUAGGGGCGUGCGGAACUUCCGGUGGAGCGGUGAAAUGCGUAGAUAUCGGAAGGAACGCCGGUGGCGAAAGCGGCGCGCUGGACCUCUUCUGACGCUGAGGCGCGAAAGCCAGGGGAGCAAACGGG